GGAAAAGGAUCAUCUGGAAACGUUUAACAACUCAGAGCCCCAGCGCUGGACAUGAUUAGCUUAUUAUUUCUCUUACCACUAUGCCUCGCGGAGGUACAAAUCAUAGACUAUUCGAAUUCCCAAUUAGUGACUAUAGAAAAAGGAUCGGCCAGAUUGCAGACAGGAACGUUUAGAAUAAUCCAUGAAAUCGACAUUGACAAAUAUACGGAAGUCCUCGAACAUAUCGAAAUGACGACGAAAACGGACGCAUUUCAUAGAAAUCCCAACUAUCCUUUUAUUACUCUACUAAUAUCCCAGAUUAAAGCUCAUAUCAAAUUUAAGAAUUGUAAGAAAAUCAAAAAGGUCAUUAAAUUUUUUAGGCAGUGCGUGGAAAUGGAUUGCAGUAAUUUCAGACCACGAAGACUACGAAAUAGUGUUAAACAAAUUAAAUAACGUUCUAGAAAAUAACAAUAAUCAAGUUCUAAUUAACAAGCUAACGAUAGAAAAAGUAAACGAUAUUACAAACAUAACAAAUCAUAUUAUUAAAGAGUUGGAAAAUGACAAAAGCAAAGAAAUAGAAUCAUUUUUGAAAUUAAAGUAUAAAUUAGAAAUUAUAAAAGAAGAGGUCGUAAAUAUUGCGUACGCAAUACAUUGGGCAAAAGCCAAUAUAAUCAACUCCUACACCAUGUCAAGCGAAGAAGCGGACAUCGCCAAGAAAAUUUUUGAAAAAGAUGACAUUCCAUUCAUAAAUUUAGACGAAGCUUUAGAAUUUUCUGAAAUAAAAAUAGCAACCGAUGGAAAAAUAAUAAUUUGCAAAACAAUAGAUAUUAGAGCAGUGAAGAGGAAUGGCAAGAUCAAUAAAAUAAAUUUUAACUCAAUUCUUAGCUGUGAAAAGAAUAUUUUCGGAAUAAAAAACAAUUGUAAACAAUAUAAUUCUUUGCAAAUAUGUUUAAGAAGUAACUUAGUAAAUUUAAGUAAUGACUAUUGCAUAAGUAAUCUCCUAAGGAGUCGUUUGUCAAACUGUACAGUGACCAACAGCCAACACAUUUUAGACUACGAAGAAUUGUCACCAGGAAUACUAUUUCUAAACAAUUUUAAAGGAGAAAUCAUAAUAAACGAGGACCUUACGAUCCUGAAUGGUACUUUUAUAAUUCACUACCAUAAUGCUACAAUCAAGAUCAAUGAGAAGAUAUUUUUCAAUGCACAAAGAUCGACAAAUAAGCCCCUACCUGCCCUACUCCAACCACCCUCAACAUCAAACAGAAGCGAGGAAAUACUUUCCUUAGAGAUGCUGAAGCAACUAAAUAUCGAUAAUACAAAAGAAAUAAGCCUUACACAAUCAGCAAACCAACUUAAAUAUACCGCAAAUAUUAUUUUAACCGUCAUAUUGUUAAUCAUUAUCAUAUACUUAACAAAAUCCGUUCUAUCACCCAAGGAGGACAAACAAAAACGGUCCAUCGAUCUAACAGAAACCGCAGUCGAAGGACUUAACCAGAUCUUCAAUAAGCCUAAAGGUCCAAACGAGGACGUUUGAAUCUCAGGGGGGGGCCUGUUAGCACGACACAUAUUAACAAACGUUAAGACACGCAUACUAUUACACCAACAUUCUUUAGCGCAACAUAAUUAUGUUUAUGUUAAGGCAUAGGCAUUGAACUAAUAAAGUCGCUGACGUUGCGGCAUGUGUAACUCCAGACUAUAGGAACGGACGGCCAGCAACAGAAAUUUAGCAAAACGGUGGGAACCACAGAAUCAGCACAUUUGGUCACGUAGCAGUAGCGACAGAUUUAGGGCUAGCAUUAAGAAUGAUAAAAUGUUAAGUUUAGUUUUUAGUUGGAGUUGAAGUAAUAAAGGAGCAUAGCUCCCACAAAUAUAUUUUUUUAAAAUCAA
Molecule: long non-coding RNA, 1866 nt
Organism: Bactrocera neohumeralis
Lineage: Eukaryota; Metazoa; Arthropoda; Insecta; Diptera; Tephritidae
Exons: 2
Source: RefSeq, a predicted model, not a curated record